ACACAUAUGUGGCACCCCUCACACACGCACACAUAUAUAGCACCCCUAUAUUAUGUGUGUGAGGGGUGAUAUAUAUAUAUAUAUCACCCCUCACACACAUAAUAUAGGGGUGCUAUAUAUGUGUGCGUGUGUGAGGGGUGCCACAUAUGUGU
This 152-nucleotide microRNA precursor is filed under the name Pelobates cultripes (western spadefoot toad). The record is from RNAcentral. Lineage: Eukaryota; Metazoa; Chordata; Amphibia; Anura; Pelobatidae.